GCUGGGCUUAGUGGUGCCCACCAGUAGUCUCAGCUACUUAGGAGGUUGAGGUAGGAGGAUCCCUUGAGCCCAGGAGUUCUGGGCUGUAGUGUGCUAUGCUGAUUGAGUGUCUGCAGUGCUACCCACAGUGCCGAUCCAGUGUCCACACUAAGUGGACACUGGAUCAAUAUGCUGACCACACCACAAUAUGGUGACCUAUCAGGAGCGGAGGAUCACUAGGUUGUCUAAGGAGGGUGAACUGGUCCAGGUCAGUAACAGAGCAGAUCAAAACUACUGUCCUGAUGGAUAGUGAGAUCUCUGAAUAGCCACUACACUCUAGUCUGGACAAUAUAGCAAGACCCAU
RNAcentral lists this signal recognition particle RNA (343 nucleotides) under Aotus nancymaae (Ma's night monkey). Its description in RNAcentral is "Metazoan signal recognition particle RNA (ENSANAG00000000778.1)". It matches the Rfam family "Metazoan signal recognition particle RNA". Rfam says of the family: The signal recognition particle (SRP) is a universally conserved ribonucleoprotein. It is involved in the co-translational targeting of proteins to membranes. The record is from Rfam by way of RNAcentral. Lineage: Eukaryota; Metazoa; Chordata; Mammalia; Primates; Aotidae.